CACGUAGGGCGCGAGCGUUGUCCGGAAUUAUUGGGCGUAAAGAGCUCGUAGGCGGCCUGUUGCGUCCGCUGUGAAAGCCCGGGGCUUAACCCCGGGUCUGCAGUGGAUACGGGCAGGCUAGAGGUAGGUAGGGGAGAAUGGAAUUCCCGGUGUAGCGGUGAAAUGCGCAGAUAUCGGGAGGAACACCGGUGGCGAAGGCGGUUCUCUGGGCCUUACCUGACGCUGAGGAGCGAAAGCGUGGGGAGCGAAUAGG
RNAcentral lists this ribosomal RNA (253 nucleotides) under uncultured bacterium. RNAcentral's name for it is "partial 16S ribosomal RNA". It matches the Rfam family "Bacterial small subunit ribosomal RNA", at positions 524 to 776 of the family's 1533-position model. The record is from RNAcentral.